GCUGACCACUAUCAUCAGAUCUGAUACAAAGUAGGAGCAAUAAUGAAGUCUCUCGUCCUUGCUCCUUUUUGUCGGCACUGUUUAUCGCAGUGUCGGGUAGGAAUGUCCGAGUGUGCCCAGACGGCAGCUCCAUGGUCUACUGUUUCGUCGACCCAUGCGAAGUGAGCACGUGCAGCAACCCUGAAGCUAAGUGCUUCUCAAACUACUGCGGUGGAUGCAAUGUGGAGUGGACUCUACCAAAUGGCUCUAUCGACAAAAAUUGUUAACUA
This is a long non-coding RNA of Haliotis rubra (blacklip abalone), 269 nucleotides long. RefSeq lists it as uncharacterized. The transcript has 3 exons. Lineage: Eukaryota; Metazoa; Mollusca; Gastropoda; Lepetellida; Haliotidae. The record is from RefSeq and is a predicted model, not a curated record.